UCUCGAAAUAGGCUCCGCUAUAUUAAUAUCGUAACCAUAUAUAUAAUGCAUCAGUUUGGACAAUGAUGGGGCAAAGAGCAUAAUAACGUACAAAAAAGACAAAAGAAAAAUAAGAGAAACAAUGCCAAACUGACGUGAAAUGUAUAGCAUUCAUCAAAACCAAAUUGAGGUGAGGUGAGGUGAGAUGAAAGAAUAGAUCGGUUCAGACCCGCCCAAACUGACGUGAGAUGUAUAGCAUUCACCAAAACCAAAUUCUAUUACUCUGCGGAUAGAAAGUACGAGAACCAUAACUGGCUGCAAAUAGAAACAUGUGGAAAUGAAAAGAGAAGAAGAUGCAAGAAGUAGAUAGAGGCAAAGGACUGGGAACAUGAUGUGGAUUCCAUGGCAAACGAAGCCAACACGUGCUCCCACUUCAGAUUCGCACGCUUCUAAUCAGGAGUAGUCAAAUAGUACAAGGGAACGUGUCAAUUCUAAUCACCUCUGAAUCACUAAUAAUCGAGAUUCGUACGUCCGCGAGAAAAAAACCGCGACGCGCAUCCCUCUCCACGCCGGCGCGGUGCGUGCGCCCGGCAGAUCGUACGUACGUACUGCUAACUACUCCGAAGCUGACCCGCCGCCGUGCGCGCGCCGGCCGGCCGGCUGGCAGGCAGGCGGCGGCGCGCGCGCGGCUCACGGGGUUUUGGCCGAGAAGGAGACGCGGCCGAAGCCCCAGCGCCCCGUCCGGUACAUCUCCUCCAGCCACGCCAGCUCCGCCUCGUGAUCGUCGACGCCUCCCGUGGUCUGCACGCCGCCCGUGGCCGUCGCCGUGGUCUGCACCUGCACGCCGCCCUCCUUCUCGCCGUCGUCGUCGGUCGCCGUCGGGGCGGCCACGUCGCGCACCCGCUUGCCGCGCAGCAGCGCCCGCCGCCUCCGCCUGGUCCUGAUCACCAGCCUGCCGACGGCGAGCGGCGCCCUGACGAGCGCCAGGCCGAGCAGGCUGACGAGCGCGCACGGGCAGCACGCCAGCGN
This 1008-nucleotide long non-coding RNA is filed under the name Hordeum vulgare. Its description in RNAcentral is "long non-coding RNA (HVUL_LNC002385)". Lineage: Eukaryota; Viridiplantae; Streptophyta; Magnoliopsida; Poales; Poaceae. The record is from RNAcentral.